GUUGAGGCAUGAUCUGUAUUGGGGAGCAUUCUCCUGGGGAAAGAAGCGAAGGCCGCUGGAAGCAGAGAGAGCCAAUUCAAGGUAGCGUCCCCCAGGAGGCUGCUGCUUCAGGCCAACACCACUAUCCAUCUCCAGAACUUUUCAUCACCCCAAAUUGAAACUCGGCACCCAUUCAACAACUCCCCGUGACCUUACCAAGAUUUUUUUUUUAAGAACAAGGCUUUAUUGUAUUUAUUUAUUUAGAGGAAGAUUAGCCCUGAGCUAACAUUGCCACGAAUCCUUCUCUUUUUGCCGAGGAAGACUGGACCUGAGCUAACAUCCGUGCCCACCUUCCACCCAGAUCCGAAGCAGCGAACCCUGGCCGCCAAAGAGGAACGUGCAAACUUAGCCGCUGCGCCACCGGGCCGGCUCCCCGCCUCAAGGUAUUGAAAAAGACUAACUGGAAGGAGCAUCUGCUUGCUGAGUGUAGGCUGAGGCCCCAGCAAGAUUCUGCCCUCCAGGCUGAGCAAGGGCUCCAGAUGUGACUAAGCAAGCUCUCGGGUUAGCGCUCCGGCCCUCGCCUAUUGCCCAGCGGGAGGAGCCGGUAUUUCCGGAUUGGAGUCUCAGACCCUGGGAUCCCGGCUAAGGGCGAAGGGGAAGGGAAGCCGAUCAUAAAAGCUAACUUUUCACCAAAAUCGUUAACCUGCUUCCCAUCCCCUAGACAAAAACAAAGACCCCCAAACACACGCAACAGCCCACAACCAUCCUUCCCGUGGUCUGUUGACGGUAACAGGAGCUGACCCCUUCCUUGCCAACAUCCCUGGAGAGGUUCAAGAAGCAGACCUGGGCACGAAUAAAGAAAGCAGCACAGCGAAUUCCGCGCGCCCUCGGCGGGAAGAAAGCUCGGCGGCAGUUUCACAGAGAAGGGAAGAGGCGGGGCAGCGGGCGCGCCGGCUCGGGGACAAGGCGGCCGCGGCCCCUGCCCCAUCGCUGGGUGGCGUGUGAGGCUCCCCUCCGUCCUUCCCGACACCCCAAAGUAGAGCUUCGAGAAGCUGCGUCGGCCUCCCCGAGCUCGCACGCCGGGCACCCUCGGGGUCUCCGGGAAGCAGGUGACAGCCGUGGCCCACCCGUGUCCCCUCCGGGCCUCCGCUCUCUGGCUCGCCGCCGUCCAACACUCCCUGCCCCCAGCCUGGAUAUUUUUUUUUUUCUUUCUCCCAAACCUCCUAACAGGAAAUAGUUUGGGUCACACUAAUACACGGGAGCAGCGGCCGAGGCCACUCGCGCGCGCCCACUCCCGGGGCAGCCUCCUGCACUCCGGCGCGGGCGAGGCGCCGCCGGCGACAAGCGCGGGGAGCGCAGGGGCCACCCGCCCAGCAGCCGGUGCCGCCUCGGAUGCGCCCGAGCGCCGCCCGCGCCCUGUGCCGGACUCCGCCGACUGCCCCCAGAUGAGAAAACUGAAGCUCAGAGAGAUUGAAGGGUUUACAUGGACCUGGCUGCUUCAGGCCCUCCAGACCAGCAUUGAUUGCCCAGAGUUACAAGAAAAGGAAGCACAAAUUCUCCAGGUGGCUCACUGAGAGUGAUGAUGGUGCUUGAUCUCUACAGAAGGAUCAAUAGUUCACUUCUAUGGUGAUCUUUCUUGGAAACAUCUUAAUUCUUCCUUCUUCCCUCUGUCUCUUUGGACUUUGCUUUUAGAGGAUAAGUUAGCUGAGCCUUUUCAGCCGUCACUUCUGCUUUGAAGCCAAGCAGCCUACCAGGUCCUUUGAAAGAGAAGAAGAGACUUCUGUGAUCCACUCACCCUGGAGCUGCAGUAGGGGACAGAUGUAAGCCAGGUAUUAGCAACCCAGAUGAUCUUGGGAAGCCACUUCAUUGAAGACAACAGAGCCUCUGUCAGCCCGGCUCCUGAAUAACUACCACAAUCUCCACCCUUUUCCUCUCCUCAAACAUGAAGAUCAGUAUUAAACUAUUACUUGAGUAAAAAAUAAGGUUUUGUUUUGUAUUAAACCAUUGCUAUUUGGGAGUUUAUUUGUUGUAGCAGCUGGCAUUGCCUGAACUAACCCAACUGAAUUAAAUUAUCCAGGCUCUUUAAUGUUCUUGCUUCUCUUUCUUUCUUAUUUUGCUUUUGAUGCUUUCUAUUGGAACUUGCUUAAUCAUUUGAACUUAAUUCAUGAACCUGAGAUUCUGCAGCUCAUAGCACACUUUUUCAUGGCAGAGUUAGUUCAUUUGUUACUCACUGAGCAAGUAUUUAAUAAACAUGUAUCCUGUGCUACAUGUUAAGUGCCAUAUGGGACCAUAAGUAAAAUUUUUUAAAUGUCCCUUUAGAAGUGACUAACGCAAUGAUGUUAACUACCAGGAUAUUAAGGCAACAUUGCUCAUUAUAGCAAAAGACAGGAAAAUGCAUAAACGUUCAAGAAUAGAAAAAUGGAUAAGUAAG
This 2410-nucleotide long non-coding RNA is filed under the name Equus caballus (horse). Its description in RNAcentral is "lncRNA (ENSECAG00000048830.1)". The record is from RNAcentral. Lineage: Eukaryota; Metazoa; Chordata; Mammalia; Perissodactyla; Equidae.